GAAAUGCGAUAAGUAAUGUGAAUUGCAGAAUUCAGUGAAUCAUCGAAUCUUUGAAACGCACCUUGCGCUCCUUGGUAUUCCUUGGAGCAUGCCUGUUUGAGUAUCAUGAAAUCUUCAAAGUAAAUCUUUUGUUAACUCAAUUGGUUUCUACUUUGGUAUUGGAGGUCUUUGCAGCUUCACACCUGCUCCUCUUUGUUCAUUAGCUGGAUCUCAGUGUUAUGCUUGGUUCCACUCGGCGUGAUAAGUUAUCUAUCGCUGAGGACACUGUAAAAGGUGGCCAAGGUAAAUGCAGAUGAACCGCUUCUAAUAGUCCAUUGACUUGGACAAUACUUUUAUGAUCUGAUCUCAAAUCAGGUAGGACUACCCGCUGAACUUAAGC
RNAcentral lists this unclassified non-coding RNA (379 nucleotides) under plant metagenome. Its description in RNAcentral is "partial contains 5.8S ribosomal RNA, internal transcribed spacer 2, and large subunit ribosomal RNA". The stretch from base 1 to 106 matches the Rfam family "5.8S ribosomal RNA", at positions 50 to 154 of the family's 154-position model. The record is from RNAcentral.